Molecule: ribosomal RNA, 362 nt
Filed under: uncultured bacterium
Lineage: Bacteria
Description: bacterial SSU rRNA
Rfam family: Bacterial small subunit ribosomal RNA
Source: RNAcentral
GAUGAACGCUAGCGGCAGGCCUAAUACAUGCAAGUCGAACGGUGUCUUCGGACAUAGUGGCGCACGGGUGCGUAACACGUAUGCAACCUACCUUACAUUGGGGGAUAGCCUUUCGAAAGGGAGAUUAAUACCGCAUAAGACAGUAGCUGGGCAUCCAGCAGCUGUUAAAGAUUUAUCGAUGUAAGCUGGGCAUGCGUCCAAUUAGCUAGUUGGUGAGGUAACGGCUCACCAAGGCUAUGAUUGGUAGGGAACUGAGAGGUCAAUCCCCCACACUGGCACUGAGAUACGGGCCAGACUCCUACGGGAGGCAGCAGUAGGGAAUAUUGGGCAAUGGACGCAAGUCUGACCCAGCCAUGCCGCGU